Molecule: RNA transcript, 721 nt
Organism: Symsagittifera roscoffensis
Lineage: Eukaryota; Metazoa; Xenacoelomorpha; Acoela; Convolutidae
Exons: 6
Source: RefSeq, a predicted model, not a curated record
AUUUGCUCAUCGUCUGAUAUGAAUUAUUAAUACAAGAAUAUAUUAACAAAAGUAACUUGUUUCCGUAGUUUCGCCAAAAUUCUGCUGCCGCAGUGCUAUUCAUAGAAAUCCUAUUUUAUUAUAAUGUACCCGAUGUUGCUCAAAGUCCUCAAACUAUUUAUUCGAGUAGCGAUCUUUUUCGCUUUCUGCAAACCUCUCUGUCAAGGGGGGGCCUCCUCCUCUUUAUCUCCGACUGAAUGGGUCGAUUUGCCCUACAUUCUCACCUAUUCGCCCAACUCAUACUUCAUGAGUUCAGUGCGCACUAUUUACACGUGCAACUACAUGCAGUGCCAGAUAGCAUGCAACACUUGGACUGCGAAUGACGUCAGCAUCCUCCGAUAUGACUCAUCCGACAGGAACUGUGUGUGUUAUGACUACCCCUAUGGACAACUGUACCACUACUUGGACCACCCAAUUGACACAGAACUGUCCACGCAAAUAUUCGCCGUCAGAGACUAUCUGACAAGAGACAUGAGGCCAAAGGCAGAGACAAGUACAACGACGAUGACAUAAAAACAAGAAACAAACUGAAAAAAAAAACAUCUUGUUUUCAUUCACUCUUAAUAAAAAUGAGAAGGUCUAAUUAGGACUCACCAUCCAAAGAGUGAUUCUAGUUGCGAUGAAGAUGAUGAGAAGGAGGAACAUACACACUAAUGCGUAGAAUGCACCAGCCAUCCACAGC